GGUUGUGAUAAGGUGGACUUCAAUGAUCUGGUUUUUUGCACUUCACUUGGUGGUAUUAAUAUUUGAAUGCUGUUCUUAGGGUUCAAAAAAACAGAUCAUUGAAGUCAAAAAGCUGUUCAAAAAACCAGAUCAUUGAAGUCCACCUUAUCACAAC
RNAcentral lists this microRNA precursor (154 nucleotides) under Paramuricea clavata. Lineage: Eukaryota; Metazoa; Cnidaria; Anthozoa; Malacalcyonacea; Plexauridae. The record is from RNAcentral.